GCGUCGGUAGUGCAAUUGGUUAGCAAGCGCUUCCAGAACAGGUAAAAUGCGGGUUUGAUUCCCGACUGACGUU
This is a non-coding RNA of Parelaphostrongylus tenuis, 73 nucleotides long. The record is from the annotation of a GenBank genome assembly. NCBI's taxonomy places the organism in Eukaryota, Metazoa, Nematoda, Chromadorea, Rhabditida, Metastrongylidae.